Molecule: ribosomal RNA, 1269 nt
Filed under: metagenome
Description: SSU rRNA
Rfam family: Eukaryotic small subunit ribosomal RNA
Source: RNAcentral
AUUAAUGUUGUUGCAGUUAAAAAGCUCGUAGUUGGAUUUUGAGGAUGUUACAUGUUUGGUCCAGCUCGAAAGCUGAGUACCGGCGUGUGCUCCUUGUAUGUGGCAACAGCGUACAGUCGCCCUUAAUUGUGGCGGUUGUCUGAGGUCCUUUCGGGGGCUUUGGGGCUGGGAGGCCUUUGAGUGCUUUGCGGGAAACCGUGGAGUGGUCGGGGUGUUCCAGUAACGUUUUGCCUAUUUUACCUUGAAAAAAUUAGAGUGUUCAAAGCAGGGCUCGGGCCCAAUGAAUAUUGCAGCAUGGGAUAAUGGAAAAAGAUGUUGGUCUUAUUUUGUUGGUUUUAUAAGACGAAUGUAAUGAUUAAAGGGGACAGUUGGAGGUGCUUGUAUUGUGGCGCUAGAGGUGAAAUUCUUUGAUUGCCACAAGACAAACUACUGCGAAAGCAUUCACCUAGGAUGUUUUCAUCAAUCAAGAACGAAAGUUGGGGGAUCGAAGACGAUCAGAUACCGUCGUAGUCUCAACCAUAAACUAUGCCGACCAAGGAUUGAGGAACGUUAAAUUACAUGUCUUCCCCAGCACUUUAUGAGAAAUCACAAGUUUUUGGGUUCCGGUGGGAGUAUGGUCGCAAGGCUGAAACUUAAAGGAAUUGACGGAAGGGCACCACCAGGCGUGGAGCCUGCGGCUUAAUUUGACCCAACACGGGGAAACUUACCAGGUCCAGACAGCGUUAGGAUUGACAGAUUGAAAGCUCUUUCAUGAUUCGUUGGGUGGUGGUGCAUGGCCGUUCUUAGUUGGUGGUGUGAAUUGUCUGGUUGAUUCCGUUAACGAACGAGACCUUGACUUCUAAAUAGACACUGGAAGAUCCUGCGCUAAGGCCGCUGGGGCCUACCGGCGGAAGGGUCCGUCCCCCGCUGGUAGUUUGUUCCCGGUGGUUGCAUGUCUUCCAGGAUGAUCUUCUUAGAGGGACUAUUUGUGACAAGCAAAUGGAGGUUCGAGGCAAAAACAGGUCUGUGAUGCCCUUCGAUGUUCUGGGCUGCACGCGCGCUACACUGACAGAGUCAACGAGUUUACAACCUUCUCUGAAAAGAGUGGGUAAUCUUUUGAAACUCUGUCGUGAUGGGGAUAGAUGAUUGCAAUUAUUCGUCUUGAACGAGGAAUGCCUAGUAGGGGCGGUUCAUCAGACCGCUCCGACUACGUCCCUGCCCUUUGUACACACCGCCCGUCGCUCCUACCGAUCGAAUGUCGAGGUGAAUUCUUCGGACAGAGAGCAUUUG